GGGCGGUCGCGGACGGACCGCUCGCCAACCCGGUCAGGUCCGAGAGGAAGCAGCCGUAACGAGAUUGGCCCGGGUCGCCGGCCGUCCUCC
Molecule: signal recognition particle RNA, 90 nt
Filed under: Alphaproteobacteria bacterium
Lineage: Bacteria; Pseudomonadati; Pseudomonadota; Alphaproteobacteria
Description: signal recognition particle sRNA small type
Rfam family: Bacterial small signal recognition particle RNA
About the family: The signal recognition particle (SRP) is a universally conserved ribonucleoprotein involved in the co-translational targeting of proteins to membranes. Archaeal SRP consists of a 7S RNA and homologues of the eukaryotic SRP19 and SRP54 proteins.
Source: RNAcentral